RNAcentral lists this unclassified non-coding RNA (324 nucleotides) under soil metagenome. RNAcentral's name for it is "partial contains 5.8S ribosomal RNA, internal transcribed spacer 2, and large subunit ribosomal RNA". The stretch from base 1 to 120 matches the Rfam family "5.8S ribosomal RNA", at positions 35 to 154 of the family's 154-position model. The record is from RNAcentral.
GAUGAAGAACGUAGCGAAAUGCGAUAAGUAGUGUGAAUUGCAGAAUUCAGUGAAUCAUCGAAUCUUUGAACGCGCAUUGCGCCCCUUGGUAUUCCAUGGGGCAUGCCUGUUCGAGCGUCAUUUGUACCUUCAAGCUUUGCUUGGUGUUGGGUGUUUGUCCCGAGGGACUCGCCUUAAAGUAAUUGGCAGCCAGUGUUUGGUUUUGAAGCGCAGCACAAGUCGCGAUUCAAGGCUACACGCCCGCUUCCACAAGCCUUUUUUCACUUUUGACCUCGGAUCAGGUAGGGAUACCCGCUGAACUUAAGCAUAUCAAUAAGCGGAGGA